UACUCACUCAUAAACCUUGCCUACUGGCCGC
RNAcentral lists this non-coding RNA (31 nucleotides) under Rattus norvegicus (Norway rat). The record is from RNAcentral. Lineage: Eukaryota; Metazoa; Chordata; Mammalia; Rodentia; Muridae.